Molecule: ribosomal RNA, 484 nt
Filed under: uncultured bacterium
Lineage: Bacteria
Description: partial 16S ribosomal RNA
Rfam family: Bacterial small subunit ribosomal RNA
Source: RNAcentral
AUUGAACGCUGGCGGCAGGCCUAACACAUGCAAGUCGAGCGGAUGAAGGGAGCUUGCUCCUGGAUUCAGCAGCGGACGGGUGAGUAAUGCCUAGGAAUCUGCCUGGUAGUGGGGGAUAACGUCCGGAAACGGGCGCUAAUACCGCAUACGUCCUGAGGGAGAAAGUGGGGGAUCUUCGGACCUCACGCUAUCAGAUGAGCCUAGGUCGGAUUAGCUAGUUGGUGGGGUAAAGGCCUACCAAGGCGACGAUCCGUAACUGGUCUGAGAGGAUGAUCAGUCACACUGGAACUGAGACACGGUCCAGACUACUACGGGAGGCAGCAGUGGGGAAUAUUGGACAAUGGGCGAAAGCCUGAUCCAGCCAUGCCGCGUGUGUGAAGAAGGUCUUCGGAUUGUAAAGCACUUUAAGUUGGGAGGAAGGGCAGUAAGUUAAUACCUUGCUGUUUUGACGUUACCAACAGAAUAAGCACCGGCUAACUUCGUG